CUGAACCUUCGGGGAACGUUAAGGGCGGCGAGCGGCGGAAAGGAGAGUAAUGCCUGGGAAUAUGCCCUGAUGUGGGGGAUAAUUAUUGGAAACGAUAGCUAAUACCGCAUAAUCUCUUCGGAGCAAAGAGGGGGACCUUCGGGCCUCUCGCGUCAGAUUAUCCCAGGUGGGAUUAGCUUGUUGGUGAGGUAAUGGCU
RNAcentral lists this ribosomal RNA (197 nucleotides) under Photobacterium damselae. RNAcentral's name for it is "partial 16S ribosomal RNA". It matches the Rfam family "Bacterial small subunit ribosomal RNA", at positions 67 to 265 of the family's 1533-position model. Lineage: Bacteria; Pseudomonadati; Pseudomonadota; Gammaproteobacteria; Vibrionales; Vibrionaceae. The record is from RNAcentral.